Molecule: long non-coding RNA, 663 nt
Filed under: Lactuca sativa (garden lettuce)
Lineage: Eukaryota; Viridiplantae; Streptophyta; Magnoliopsida; Asterales; Asteraceae
Description: long non-coding RNA (LSAT_LNC005283)
Source: RNAcentral
UAAUCCUUCUUUGAUGUACCUGAAAGAAAGUGAGCAAACCAAAAUGAAUGAAANAAGUGAGCAAACCAAACCAUGAAUGAAAGGGCAUUUUGGUCAUUUGAUCAACACUCAACUCAAGACAUUUUUAAUGAAUCCAUUAGUGGCAUCACACUAGGAAAACUUUGCAUCUCCAUCAAAGCCAAAACGCUUCCUUGUCCUUCGUGAACAGUUGUAGUUCCUUUGUAUUUGUAUUUCUGCUCUUGUUUUUCUGUUGCGAAAACAGAAAUCAAAUCUCUUACCUUUAAAUUUGAACCGCUACCUGUGUUUGUCUAUUGCAAAAACAGAAAUCAAAGCUCUUACCCUUUAAAUUUGAACCGCAGGUCCAGUGGUGGGAUUUUCAGGUUGGUUGAAUUAUUGGAGGUGCCAGGCGAGGCGAGGUUGGCCGAUGAUGAUGAUGUUGCGACAGGGGAGAUGGAGAUGAAGGACCGAUUAGUGUGGGAGGAGGAAGUUAAGUAUGUGAGGAGGAGGAGGCGUAUUCAAUUUAGGUAUUAGUCGUACUUAAUCAAAAUGGGGGCGUAUUUUUAGUUAUUUGAUUUUGUUUCUAGUAAAUCUCAUUAACCAUAUUAAAUGCUGCAGUUAACCGUAUUAGAUGCUGCAAUUGUAUGUAUUAUAUUUAUUUAUCCC